Molecule: transfer RNA, 69 nt
Filed under: Staphylinoidea sp. 2 KM-2017
Lineage: Eukaryota; Metazoa; Arthropoda; Insecta; Coleoptera
Description: tRNA-Gln
Source: RNAcentral
UAUACCAUAGUAUACGAGGUACAAAAGUUUUUGAUGCUUGAAGAAAUAGUUUAAAUCUGUUGGGUAUAA